This is a long non-coding RNA of Gallus gallus (chicken), 3342 nucleotides long. RefSeq lists it as uncharacterized. Lineage: Eukaryota; Metazoa; Chordata; Aves; Galliformes; Phasianidae. The record is from RefSeq and is a predicted model, not a curated record. The transcript is spliced from 5 exons.
GAAAAUUCCUGCAUUGAAAAGCCCAUGAGUAGUUCGCCAUGUAUUCUGUGAUUUAUACAGAACCUGAGCACCUUUCCUGAACUGGAAUUUCAGGCUAACAUUCCUCUAUACAGCACUGCCUCAUACGUAAGGCAUGAUACGUGCUCUGCCCUUCUCACCACCACACCACACUGCUGGUACAACCCCUGCAUUCCCACAGAGCAGUCACAUCCCCACAGAAAGAUGACAGCUUUUUCCCUAUUAUUGGUGUACCAGGUGCUAUUUUGUCUCUCGCUGACAACCGUCAUUGAGAUACUGUUUCAGCAGAGGUAAUCUGAUCACCGGAGGGAGCAUGAACGUGACACAGGAAUGUCUGUGGGUAUCUGAAGCAGUGCAUCCCUUUGGAGAUUGGUGAUUUUAAUCACAAAAAUCUCCUGCUGUGUGCACCCUAAUUAUAUCAGAGGUCUCUUCACAUAUUGCGUACUCAUUGGAAGACAGCAUGCUUAAAUAUUUUCAGUCACACACCUGGAGAACACAAGGCAGUAAGAAAAUUCUGUGUUCUCACUAGGUGAAAAAGUAAGUAUUAGAAUCUCAGCUAAAACAGAAGAUCAUCUGCUCUGAAUUCAAGCUGAUCCACAGACUUGACACUGCGUGCCAACACUAAGGAAAGCUUAGAUGGUGAUACGCCAAUCCAUAAUGUCAAAACUGAGUAUGGGAGUAUGAUGAAUGUUAUGAUGAAAACUGAGUAUGUUUUACCACUGCAUGCUGCUGCACUGCUGAGUAAGCCCACUUUGUAUCUCACAGAAGCUGGGCAGAUAUAUAAUUGGAUAUCAAAGAGAGAAAGCUUUGAUAGAGACAUUUUGUAAAUUUGUAUAAGCAGAGCAUUUAUUUUAAAAAAACAAACAACUAAAAAAAAAAAAACAAAACAAAAACCAACCAACCAAAAAACCCACCUUCCCUGGGCUAAAUUCACAGCUGAGGUGGAAUUUGGGGUUAAAAGCAGUAUGAAAAAAAAAAAAAAAAAAGAAGAUACUCCUUCAGGAAUGCAGAAAACUCAGGCUCUGAGUUUGAUUGUGCUCCGCUUAUGAACCACUGUAAGAAGACAUCACAUCUGCUCCCGGUACGGAAAUUGAGCUUGGCAUCAGAUGCAUGUGUGCCUCUUUUCAACUCCAACAGUCCGGCAGCUGGGAUGAAGCACAGCAUUACAACCACUGGAAAAAUACAAACAGCGAUUUGCAGUUUCUGGCCAAUGGCUCCACCUGCUCUGCGUGGCAAAGGCCCCAUUCCUCACCUCACCCUUAAAACUGUCAGUAGGCACUUUAGUGCAUGAGGUGGAGAGUAUCACUCAGAGUAGGAGAGAGAGGUUCUGCUGGAGGACCACCCUCCCCAGGCUCAGUGCAGCACCCACACAGAACUCAUCAAAACCAAUGUGAAAAAGCUGCAAGAUACAUCCAAUGGCUGAUUUACAAAGCAGAUUUUUUCCUUCUCAACACUUUUUUCAGUAAUGUCCAUUAUCAAUAUUUGGUCCUGUCAAAAUGACUGUAUGUUGAAGAUGUGUUGUUGCUGUAAGUAGAACAUACACAUGGGCAGCCAGACAUCAAAAACACAGGCAGAAACUAAGUCAUGUGAUGCUUUUAGUGCAAUCUGUGCUGACAACUAAAAUGUGUACUUUUUUAUGGACAGAUGAAAAAGAAAAACGUGAAGUUAUUCUCUAGUACUGGUGUUAAUGUAUGGGGAGCAUUUCAGAGAGCAUGAAUCUUGCAGGGACUAGCAAAUGUUAUCUACCAGCUGAUGAGUUUCCUGCAUUAAUGGAUUGGCUGCUCUCCAGACUGAACCUCCUGUAUGAAAAUAGGCACAUUUGUGAAGAGUUUACUCAGCAAAUUCUUCCUUUUCAACAAAGAAACUAACACCUUCCCAAAUCUUUGUAGUGUUUGUGUUACAAUGGCAAAUGAAUAUACAUGUGCAGACAAUGCUAAAUCCUAAACUGGUUUCUUGGAGAAAUUCAGUUAUCAUAGACGGCGUUAUAUUUUGCUUUUCAGAUACUAAUAAUGCUUUAACUUUUGGCCUCAAGCAAAGGGGAAAGGAUGAACAGUUGUGUUGUUUAUGGAAUAUGGAAUUAACCUUAUACUCUGAAGUAAUAACUUGUGCAAGAUUUGGGGAGGAAUAGCAGGGGCAGAGGGAAGUGAGGAAAGAAAAAGGACCGAAAAACAUUCAGAGAGAUACACUGUUUGUAAACACAUUCCAGGACAUGGCCAUCCCCUGUGGAUGCAUCUGACCAGGCUAAUGAGUAAGUCCACGGUGCCUGUUAAGCAACUGUAUUUUGUUCCUGCCAGAAGUUAUUUACUUCCACCAAAGUGACUUCUCUUUGAAGUUGUUCCUUUCUUCAUAGUUACUGAAAUAAAAAAAGAGUGGGAAACAAAAGUAGGAACCUUGCCUUGCUGAGGUGGCGGUAUCACUGAAACCACAAAAGAUAAAUGCUCAGAAAUCCUGGGGGAACAGAGAGUCAGAACCUGAAGUUUUAAGAUAGAAGUUCCCUAAUCAGACCCCACAACUAAAUAUUACUGAGCUUUGCACACUUGAAAUCCUAACUUGAAUCCUCAUAACAAGUUUGAGGAUCAUUUCAAUCUAGAUGUGCAGGAAUAUAGCAGUGCUCAGCUGUGCUGUGUGUUAGGACGCUGAACAGAGUAAUUUCUUAAGUGGCAGGGAAAUUCAGUUUGUCCUAUUCAGAAAACUUCUCAAUUUUCUGGCUCAUUAGCAGCAUCUACCUUCAUUUUGCAUAACAAAUAAUGCCUGUGCAACUGCUGUUAUUAAAUUUGAAAAAUAAAAUCUAUAGAAGUGAUGUAAACUUCUCAACUAAUGGCAAACACAUUCCUUACAGGUUUUAAAACUUGAUGUUUGCUCAGUAAUGUCAUAGUGCUAAUUCUGAAGUUUUUAGUGGAAAACUGAAUAUUUUGGCAAGUAUUUCUAAGAAGCAUUACUAAACUGAAACAACUCCAACCAAACUCAGGCAGUGCAUUAAACAGAAUUUUGAUGUGCAUAAGUUGGCAUAAGAAGGAAUUAUUUUGGCUGCUCCCUAUGUCAACUGGGUGAAAUGAAAAACCCACUCCGUGCUAAAUGCAAAAAUUUUUGCCCUAGCAGGCAGCACUGACUGCCCUCCUGUCAAUGACUCUUACAGAGAUGUCCAAGUCCUCUGAGGAGAAGCAGGGGAAGGCAGCACAUCUUGAACAAAAAGAGGAGAUGCAGUUCCUCAGCACAGGACUAAUAAAUAGAGUGAAUAAAUAAUUGCUUCACUUAGAAGCAGUUUCUGAGUUUUAGCAGUUGAUAAGGAAAAUGGUCACAGUUUUCUAUCUCCAAAACUACCAU